This 125-nucleotide ribosomal RNA is filed under the name Melamphaes acanthomus. RNAcentral's name for it is "partial small subunit ribosomal RNA". Lineage: Eukaryota; Metazoa; Chordata; Actinopteri; Beryciformes; Melamphaidae. The record is from RNAcentral.
CUGAUGGCUCCCGGCGUAAAGAGUGGUUAAGGGACAAAAUAUAAACUAAAGCCGAAUGCCCUCAAGGCCGUUAUACGCAUCCGAAGGUAUGAAGCACCAUCACGAAAGUGGCUUUAACCCCCCCC